GACGAACGCUGGCGGCGUGCUUAACACAUGCAAGUCGAACGGAAAGGCCCUGCUUUUGUGGGGUGCUCGAGUGGCGAACGGGUGAGUAACACGUGAGUAACCUGCCCUUGACUUUGGGAUAACUUCAGGAAACUGGGGCUAAUACCGGAUAGGAGCUCCUGCUGCAUGGUGUGGGUUGGAAAGUUUCGGCGGUUGGGGAUGGACUCGCGGCUUAUCAGCUUGUUGGUGGGGUAGUGGCUUACCAAGGCUUUGACGGGUAGCCGGCCUGUGAGGGUGACCGGCCACAUUGGGACUGAGAUACGGACCAGAAGCCUACGGGAGGCAGCAGGGGGGAAUAUUGCACAAUGGGCGGAAGCCUGAGACAGCAACGCCGCGUGCGGGAUGACGGCCUUCGGGUUGUAAACAGCUUUCGAAUGUGAUGAAGAGGGAGUGACGGUAAUGGGUAAAGAAGCACCGGCUAACUACGUG
Molecule: ribosomal RNA, 468 nt
Filed under: uncultured bacterium
Lineage: Bacteria
Description: partial 16S ribosomal RNA
Rfam family: Bacterial small subunit ribosomal RNA
Source: RNAcentral